UGGAGCUCGAUAGGAGACUGAAGAUUAUGAUAUUUUAUUCUCUUUACAAUAUUUUAAACGGAAAGAGGUAAGGUAUAUUCCUCUAAUAUCGUUUAUUGUUCAAUUAUGUCUUCCGUUAUAUUUUUGGGCUAUUUUUACCCUUGCCGUUUGGCAAAGUUUUAAAUUUGCCCCUGAUUUGACGGACUUGCCACGUGGAGGCUGCUAAGUGAAGGUCCCAAUCCAUAACAAAAUAACCCACUCCCGUUCGGAUAAUCCGUGACCUGAUCCGACCCAUUACCAAUUAAAACCAAUCUGACCCUACAGUCUCCACCCUUGAAAAUUGCCACCACUAUAGACUACCAUACUCUUCCGUCGCCACCACCGCUGACGGAAAACUCUAAAUUGGCCAUCUAAUAACCAUCGUCUUCCUCUAUGAAAUUUAAAACCCAAAUUCCCCAUCUUCACGAAUUUGAAGAAAACAGAAUAGCCCUUGUCACCUCCGAAAACCAAAUAGCUCUCUUAGCUUGAAUAGCUGCACCUUUCAUUCCGAUGAGUAACCAGGUACGGUACUUGGCUCGCCGGUGUAUGUAUUCUAGCUCUUUGUUUGAACGAAAAGUCUGGUUAUUCUUCGGACUUUUAUUUCCCUAUACUCUGGUGGUCUAAGAUAAAUCCUGAGGUCAUGAGUUGAGUUUUGAGCACCUGAGGUUGGCAUCAGCAGGUGAACCAACAGUAGUGGUGAGCAACAAAAGAAAAUCUGAAACACCUUACAAGUUCUAUGCACCUUCAAAAAUCAAACCAGACAACCAUCGAGUUUGACCGAAAAUUUCGCCGACGAUUCCAGCUUGUCAAUGAUGGGAAUUUGAUGGCGCUGACAACAAAGAAGAUUUCAAAAGUAAAUUGAGAAAGAUUUUUAAGGAAUGACUCUUUAUAAUUGUUGUCCUGGGUCUUGUGUAAAAAGAUGAAAUUGUUAAUAAAGGAUGGUGAAAAUGGUCCUAAAAUAAAACUUCUCUAAUAAUGGUAUUGGUGGUUCCCCUGUUCAUAUGGUUUCUUCUGGUAAUAGUGAGAUUGUCUCUCUGAUGUGAUUUUAAUAAAAAAUAUGACUAUGUUUUACUUCAAUGUCAAAAAGUUAUGGUGGAAUACUGGAAAUGUGACCCAAUUGAAUUUUGUUGAA
Long non-coding RNA from Nicotiana tabacum (common tobacco), 1150 nucleotides. RefSeq lists it as uncharacterized. The record is from RefSeq and is a predicted model, not a curated record. NCBI's taxonomy places the organism in Eukaryota, Viridiplantae, Streptophyta, Magnoliopsida, Solanales, Solanaceae.